GACGAACGCUGGCGGCGUGCUUAACACAUGCAAGUCGAACGGAAAGGCCCUGCUUUUGUGGGGUGCUCGAGUGGCGAACGGGUGAGUAACACGUGAGUAAACUGCCCUUGACUUUGGGAUAAAUUCAGGAAACUGGGGCGAAUACCGGAUAGGAGCUCCUGCUGCAUGGGGGGGGUUGGAAAGUUUCGGCGGUUGGGGAUGGACUCGCGGCUUAUCAGCUUGUUGGUGGGGUAGUGGCUUACCAAGGCUUUGACGGGUAGCCGGCCUGGGAGGGUGACCGGCCACAUUGGGACUGAGAUACGGCCCAGACUCCUACGGGAGGCAGCAGUGGGGAAUAUUGCACAAUGGGCGGAAGCCUGAUGCAGCAACGCCGCGUGCGGGAUGACGGCCUUCGGGUUGUAAACCGCUUUCGCCUGUGACGAAGCGUGAGUGACGGUAAUGGGUAAAGAAGCACCGGCUAACUACGUG
This 468-nucleotide ribosomal RNA is filed under the name uncultured bacterium. RNAcentral describes it as "partial 16S ribosomal RNA". It matches the Rfam family "Bacterial small subunit ribosomal RNA", at positions 28 to 507 of the family's 1533-position model. The record is from RNAcentral.